UCGAUUAUCGAAAUAAUAUCGAUAGGAUCGAUAUAAUCGAGUUCCGUUACCAGCCAAUGAGAGAGCUUCUUGGCGAAAUUUGGCGCGCAGCGUCAGUCUUCAGUGGAAAGUGAACAAGUGAGGACGUGUGACCGCUGCCGGCUUGGAAAAUUCUACUGCGCAAUUAUUACCAGAUUAUUACUGGGCCGAUAUAUUGGUCGGGAAGGCGGGAAAAAUUCCAACAUGGACGCCAUUGUACUUUUUCAAAGAGAAAAGUAUGAUUUUUCGCUCGUGCAUUGUAUGUAUUUAUUCUUUAUUCAUUCGAUCGUUAUUAUUUGAUAUACUUUGUCAUUACGUAAACGUGUAUUUUAUCCUAUAUGUAUAAUGAACAUUCAUCAUAAUUAUUAAUAGUUUUGCAUUAAAUUUGAUAUGAUCGUUCCAUUUUAAAUGUUUUUAUUCAUGAAAAAAAAUGGAUAAUAAUCGAUUCAGAGUUUUAAUAAAAACGUUAAUUCUUUCCGAAACAAAUGUUGGAUAGAAAGAAAAAAUAUUUUGCUUCUUUUUCUAUAGAUUCCACGCGCCCCCCUCCCACUCAUUACUAAUACAACUUUAUUUCCAGAGAAUUUUUGUGAUCGCGCGCAAUGCGAUCGGUAGAUUCAGUGUUUGCUUCGUAAUAGUUUUUUAGAGUAUUUAGAGCACAAUAGCUCUAAUUAAAUUACUAUAAUUAUUCGCGAAACUAGAGUCAGUGCUUGUUCGCCGCUUCUAUUUGAAAUCGACGCGUUAGUAGUUUUUUAUUUUUAUUUUUUUUAUUUUUUUGAAAUUUUAUUCGUUUUCGGUACAGGGUAGAAUCAGUGUUCCUCGAGGAAUAGGGCGGUCAUCCAUCACGCGAAGAGUUCUCCCUUCCUCGUGAUGACUAUUUGGCGAUGACAUCUUGGGCCACGACAAUGCAGAUUCUUCGCAUCUAUUGGUGAGUCGCAUGCAUUUAUGUUCCUCCGGUCAUUCAAUCAUGUCGUAGGACGAAAGGUCCGUAUCGACACGGAUGACUGGUUGUAUACGUAGAAUUUUGCACGAGCACAGUGACCACGGGUAUUUAUUAUACUCGUGAAUAGUAACAUUUUUCUUGUAUUUUAUUUAUUAGAUCAGGAUAGAUCUUCUUGCACGUCGCGUUUUUGUAAAGAUGAUAUUGAUAGUUAAUUUUAAUAUUAAACAACACGUUAAUUAUGAAUAUAUAGAAUGAUAUGAAUAAUUAGUAGUUUGAUUGAUCUAUGAUUGAUUUAUUUAUUUU
This is a long non-coding RNA of Apis cerana (Asiatic honeybee), 1261 nucleotides long. RefSeq lists it as uncharacterized. NCBI's taxonomy places the organism in Eukaryota, Metazoa, Arthropoda, Insecta, Hymenoptera, Apidae. The record is from RefSeq and is a predicted model, not a curated record.